RNAcentral lists this transfer RNA (72 nucleotides) under Camelus bactrianus (Bactrian camel). It matches the Rfam family "tRNA". From Rfam's summary of the family: Transfer RNA (tRNA) molecules are approximately 80 nucleotides in length. Their secondary structure includes four short double-helical elements and three loops (D, anti-codon, and T loops). Lineage: Eukaryota; Metazoa; Chordata; Mammalia; Artiodactyla; Camelidae. RNAcentral also lists the same sequence under 2 other names. The record is from Rfam by way of RNAcentral.
GAGGAUAUAGCUCAGUGGCAGAGCGCUUGCCUAGCAUGCAUGAGGUCCUGGGUUCAAUUCCCAGUACCUCCA